RNAcentral lists this ribosomal RNA (1264 nucleotides) under human oral metagenome. Its description in RNAcentral is "bacterial LSU rRNA". It matches the Rfam family "Bacterial large subunit ribosomal RNA", at positions 1651 to 2925 of the family's 2925-position model. The record is from RNAcentral.
AAACCGACACAGGUGGUCAGGAUGAGAAAUCUAAGGCGGACAGGCUAACUCUCGUUAAGGAACUCUGCAAAAUAACCUCGUAACUUCGGGAGAAGAGGAGCCCUUGAGGGUCAGUAUCCACGCGAUACAAAGCGCUCGAGGGUCGCAGUGAAGAGGCUCAAGCAACUGUUUAACAAAAACACAGGUCUAUGCUAAGCUGGAAGGCGAUGUAUAUGGGCUGACACCUGCCCAGUGCUGGAAGGUUAAGAGGAGGAGUGAGAGCUCCGAAUUGAAGCCCCAGUGAACGGCGGCCGUAACUAUAACGGUCCUAAGGUAGCGAAAUUCCUUGUCGGGUAAGUUCCGACCUGCACGAAUGGUGUAAUGAUUUGAGCGCUGUCUUGACGGGAGGCCUGGUGAAAUUGUAUUACCGGUGAAGAUACCGGUUACCUACAGUAGGACGGAAAGACCCCAUGGAGCUUUACUGUAGCUUGGUAUUGGGUUUUGGCAUUGCAUGUAUAGGAUAGUUGGGAGACUGAGAUGAUAUGGCGCUAGCUGUAUCGGAGUCAUCGGUGGAAUACCAACCAUUCAAUGCUGAAAUUCUAAUCUGUGGUUUGUAGCCACGGAGACAGUGCUAGGUGGGCAGUUUGACUGGGGCGGUCGCCUCCGAAAGAGUAACGGAGGCGUUCAAAGGUUCUCUCAGGUUGGAUGGAAAUCAACCAUAGAGUGCAAUGGCAUAAGAGAGCUUGACUGCAAGACUGACGGGUCGAGCAGAUGCGAAAGCAGGACAUAGUGAUCCGGCGAUUCCGAAUGGAAGGGUCGUCGCUCAACGGAUAAAAGCUACCCUGGGGAUAACAGGCUGAUCCUACCCGAGAGUCCAUAUCGACGGUAGGGUUUGGCACCUCGAUGUCGGCUCAUCGCAUCCUGGGGCUGGAGAAGGUCCCAAGGGUUGGGCUGUUCGCCCAUUAAAGCGGUACGUGAGCUGGGUUCAGAACGUCGUGAGACAGUUCGGUCCCUAUCCACUGUAGGCGUUAGAAUAUUGAGAAGACCUGUCCUUAGUACGAGAGGACCGGGAUGGACAAACCUCUGAUGUACCAGUUGUCACGCCAGUGGCACAGCUGGGUAGUCACGUUUGGAAUAGAUAACCGCUGAAAGCAUCUAAGCGGGAAACUAACUUCAAGAUAAGUAUUCUUUAAGAUACCUUCGAGCCUAGGAGGUUGAUAGGUUGGGGGUGUAAGUGCAGCAAUGCAUUUAGCUGACCAAUACUAAUUAUCGAAGUUUUAAUCUA